RNAcentral lists this ribosomal RNA (716 nucleotides) under uncultured bacterium. Its description in RNAcentral is "bacterial SSU rRNA". It matches the Rfam family "Bacterial small subunit ribosomal RNA", at positions 51 to 766 of the family's 1533-position model. The record is from RNAcentral.
ACACAUGCAAGUCGAACGAGAAUCUGUGGAUCGAGGAUUCGUCCAAGUGAAGCAGAGGACAGUGGCGGACGGGUGAGUAACGCGUGAGGAACCUGCCUUUCAGAGGGGGACAACAGUUGGAAACGACUGCUAAUACCGCAUGAUACGUUUUAGGGGCAUCCCUGAGACGUCAAAGAUUUAUCGCUGAAAGAUGGCCUCGCGUCUGAUUAGCUAGUUGGUGAGGUAACGGCCCACCAAGGCGACGAUCAGUAGCCGGACUGAGAGGUUGACCGGCCACAUUGGGACUGAGAUACGGCCCAGACUCCUACGGGAGGCAGCAGUGGGGAAUAUUGGGCAAUGGGCGCAAGCCUGACCCAGCAACGCCGCGUGAAGGAAGAAGGCUUUCGGGUUGUAAACUUCUUUUAAGAGGGAAGAGCAGAAGACUGUACCUCUAGAAUAAGCCACGGCUAACUACGUGCCAGCAGCCGCGGUAAUACGUAGGUGGCAAGCGUUGUCCGGAUUUACUGGGUGUAAAGGGCGUGCAGCCGGGAAUGCAAGUCAGAUGUGAAAUCCAUGGGCUUAACCCAUGAACUGCAUUUGAAACUGUAUUUCUUGAGUACUGGAGAGGCAAUCGGAAUUCCUAGUGUAGCGGUGAAAUGCGUAGAUAUUAGGAGGAACACCAGUGGCGAAGGCGGAUUGCUGGACAGCAACUGACGGUGAGGCGCGAAGGUGUGGGG